UCCCCGCUCCCCGGCCCGGGCCCGGGCCCGCCCCUCCCGCGGGGUCCCGCAGAGUGGGCGCCGAGUGCCGGGCUCUGGGGCGCGGACCUCGCGGAGCCCUGGCGGGCGGCGAGGGCCGGGUCGGUGGUGGCCCCUCAGGGGGCGGCCGCCGGGGCUACCACGGAGGCGCGGGAGAGCCUCCCCAGGAGAGAACUGGGCCUUUGUCUCCGGGAAAAACGGAAAGUCACAUCCUUCAGGAACAGUUAAACCAACUGCGUGACACAGGACCCGGAACCCAGUAGGUGCUAGAACGUUCGAUGAAUGAAUGAGCAGAGGCCGCAAGAAGAGAAAUACCCUGUGGGACCAUGGCUGUUGGCACUGUUUGUUUUUGUUGUCUGUGGCUCAGGACCACGAUCCUGAGAAGGGCCGGCUAAAGAGAAAGUUUUGUCCCAUUCCAAGCAGCAAAGACAGCCCCCGCUGAAGCUUGCUGUUAAGCGAGGCCUAUCCUGCGGGCACGGCUGGCAGAGGAAAGGGAGAAUCAGCCUGCUCAGUUGUUCUGACUUCUGAUACGGCCGCAGGAAGUCCGAGGGGCGACCACAGAGAUCGGCAUUGGGAUUAAAGAUGUUCAGUGUGCAACUUUAAACAGUCCUGUGUUGCUUCUUAAAAUUCCAUCUUUGCACUC
Herpailurus yagouaroundi (jaguarundi) is the source of this 661-nucleotide long non-coding RNA. RefSeq lists it as uncharacterized. NCBI's taxonomy places the organism in Eukaryota, Metazoa, Chordata, Mammalia, Carnivora, Felidae. The record is from RefSeq and is a predicted model, not a curated record. The transcript has 3 exons.